UACGUUUAGAUAGACUCUGCAAACACAUCGCUCUGCCUCUACCUCUCUCUUCCUCUGCUUCUGCCUCUGCCUCUGCCUUUGUCCCGCCCCUUUUCAUAUAACCAAAGAAAGCUGUACACGAAUUCAAUAGAAAUUUCAUUUUACUUCCACACAGCCCUCAAUAGUGGCCCAAUUUUCAUAUUUAUACAGAAUUUACUAAUGUACCAAUUUAAUAGUAUCUGGUGUAAUGGAAAGUAUUUUACAUACUCCCUCCUGUCAGCUGUGUCAAUUAUUUACUUCGGCUGCUAAACAACAAACUUUGAGUUGUGUAAAGAAUUUUUGGUUUCUGCAUCGUAGGCAGGUGAAGUGGUGCAAUAAAAAUUAUAAAGCCAAAUUCUUGCUGGGCCUGGAAACAGUUUUUGUAGUGAAAAUUUAUGAAUUAUAUUGAAGUCAAGAUAUAAAUGGAUUUCUACUGAUAUUCCAUUUGGCACAAAAUCAAAUUGAAGUCGCAAACUUUUGGUUAUGCCUCAAAAGGACGGCUGUCUGGCUGUCUGGCUGUCUUGCAUGGCACUACUUUAAUGCCAAAAACAUUUUUGCCAUUUCGUGACCAAAUUUCGAGCACUAUCACGUGUGUUACACACGCACACUCGUUUACACACACCUGCCUAUCCAGGCAGCCAUGAGCUAGGGAUCGUGCUUUUGUUUUUACUCGAAGGCGGAAAACGUUUUCCAUUGGCAGCAACAUUGGCGAACUGACGAUAUAGUGAACAUUGGCCUGGACUUUAUUAAAAUGGAAAUUAACAGUUAAGGAAAUGGGAGUUUAUAAUUGGCUUCCAAUAAUAUAAUGAGGAAUCGGCUAUAUAUAUUUAUU
Drosophila mojavensis is the source of this 850-nucleotide long non-coding RNA. RefSeq lists it as uncharacterized. The record is from RefSeq and is a predicted model, not a curated record. The transcript has 3 exons. NCBI's taxonomy places the organism in Eukaryota, Metazoa, Arthropoda, Insecta, Diptera, Drosophilidae.